This 85-nucleotide transfer RNA is filed under the name Felis catus (domestic cat). It matches the Rfam family "tRNA". Rfam says of the family: Transfer RNA (tRNA) molecules are approximately 80 nucleotides in length. Their secondary structure includes four short double-helical elements and three loops (D, anti-codon, and T loops). The record is from Rfam by way of RNAcentral. Lineage: Eukaryota; Metazoa; Chordata; Mammalia; Carnivora; Felidae.
ACCUGGGUGGCUCAGUUGGUUGAGUGUCUGACUUCAGCUCAGGUCAUGAUCUCACGGUUCAUGGGUUCUAGCCCCACAUCAGGUU